UACGAAGGGGGCUAGCGUUGCUCGGAAUGACUGGGCGUAAAGGGCGCGUAGGCGGCUCAUACAGUCAGAUGUGAAAUCCCCGGGCUUAACCUGGGAACUGCAUUGGUGACUGCACGGCUAGAGUGUGUCAGAGGGGGGUAGAAUUCCACGUGUAGCAGUGAAAUGCGUAGAGAUGUGGAGGAAUACCGAUGGCGAAGGCAGCCCCCUGGGAUAACACUGACCGCUCAUGCACGAAAGCGUAGGGGAGCAA
Molecule: ribosomal RNA, 250 nt
Filed under: uncultured bacterium
Lineage: Bacteria
Description: partial 16S ribosomal RNA
Rfam family: Bacterial small subunit ribosomal RNA
Source: RNAcentral